GUAGGUGGCAAGCGUUGUCCGGAAUUAUUGGGCGUAAAGCGCGCGCAGGCGGUUCUUUAAGUCUGAUGUGAAAGCCCACGGGCUCAACCGUGGAGGGUCAUUGGAAACUGGAGAACUUGAGUACAGAAGAGGAAAGCGGAAUUCCACGUGUAGCGGUGAAAUGCGUAGAGAUGUGGAGGAACACCAGUGGCGAAGGCGACUUUCUGGUCUGUAACUGACGCUGAGGCGCGAAAGCGUGGGGAGCAAACAGGAUUAGAUACCCUGGUAGUCCACGCCGUAAACGAUGAGUGCUAAGUGUUAGGGGGUUUCCGCCCCUUAGUGCUGCAGCUAACGCAUUAAGCACUCCGCCUGGGGAGUACGGCCGCAAGGCUG
This 372-nucleotide ribosomal RNA is filed under the name uncultured organism. Its description in RNAcentral is "partial 16S ribosomal RNA". It matches the Rfam family "Bacterial small subunit ribosomal RNA", at positions 527 to 896 of the family's 1533-position model. The record is from RNAcentral.